RNAcentral lists this ribosomal RNA (253 nucleotides) under uncultured bacterium. RNAcentral describes it as "partial 16S ribosomal RNA". It matches the Rfam family "Bacterial small subunit ribosomal RNA", at positions 524 to 776 of the family's 1533-position model. The record is from RNAcentral.
UACGGAAGGGGCUAGCGUUGUUCGGAAUUACUGGGCGUAAAGAGCGCGUAGGCGGCUUACCAAGUUGGGGGUGAAAUCCCGGAGCUCAACUCCGGAACUGCCUUCAAAACUGGUAGGCUCGAGUCCGGAAGAGGGGCGUGGAAUUCCCAGCGUAGAGGUGAAAUUCGUAGAUAUUGGGAAGAACACCGGUGGCGAAGGCGGCGCCCUGGUCCGGUACUGACGCUGAGGCGCGAAAGCGUGGGGAGCCAACGGG